UACAGAGGUGGCAAGCGUUGUUCGGAAUUACUGGGCGUAAAGCGCGUGUAGGCGGCUUCGCAAGUCGGGUGUGAAAUCCCACGGCUCAACCGUGGAAGUGCAUUCGAAACUGCAAGGCUAGAGUCCUGGAGAGGAAGGUGGAAUGCUUGGUGUAGAGGUGAAAUUCGUAGAUAUCAAGCGGAACACCGGUGGCGAAGGCGACCUUCUGGACAGUGACUGACGCUGAGACGCGAAAGCGUGGGGAGCAAACAGG
Molecule: ribosomal RNA, 253 nt
Filed under: uncultured bacterium
Lineage: Bacteria
Description: partial 16S ribosomal RNA
Rfam family: Bacterial small subunit ribosomal RNA
Source: RNAcentral